GGAAAUGUGGCUUAGUGGUAGAGUGCUUGCCUAGCAUGCAUGAAGCCCUGAGUACGAUUUCUCAGUACCA
Molecule: transfer RNA, 70 nt
Filed under: Dipodomys ordii (Ord's kangaroo rat)
Lineage: Eukaryota; Metazoa; Chordata; Mammalia; Rodentia; Heteromyidae
Rfam family: tRNA
About the family: Transfer RNA (tRNA) molecules are approximately 80 nucleotides in length. Their secondary structure includes four short double-helical elements and three loops (D, anti-codon, and T loops). Further hydrogen bonds mediate the characteristic L-shaped molecular structure. tRNAs have two regions of fundamental functional importance: the anti-codon, which is responsible for specific mRNA codon recognition, and the 3' end, to which the tRNAs corresponding amino acid is attached (by aminoacyl-tRNA synthetases). tRNAs cope with the degeneracy of the genetic code in two manners: having more than one tRNA (with a specific anti-codon) for a particular amino acid; and 'wobble' base-pairing, i.e. permitting non-standard base-pairing at the 3rd anti-codon position.
Source: Rfam by way of RNAcentral